This is a long non-coding RNA of Mytilus californianus (California mussel), 3582 nucleotides long. RefSeq lists it as uncharacterized. The record is from RefSeq and is a predicted model, not a curated record. Lineage: Eukaryota; Metazoa; Mollusca; Bivalvia; Mytilida; Mytilidae. The transcript is spliced from 3 exons.
AUACGACCGCAAAAAAAUUUUGUGGUCGUAUAUUGGUAUGAUGUUGGCGUCGUCGUCGUCGUCGUCGUCGUCCGGCGUCGUCGUCGUCCAGCGUCGUCGACCGAAUACAUAUUGGUUUUCGCACUCUAACUUUAGUUUAAGUGAAUGGAUCUUUUUGAAAUUUGACCAUAAGGUUAAAUACCACAAAAGGAAGGUUGGGAUUGAUUUUGGGGGUUAUGGUACCAACAGUUAAGGAAUUAGGGGCCAAAAAGGGGCCAAAAAUGAGCAUUUUCUAGUUUCCAGACAAUAACUGUGGAACGGUGUAUGGAUCUCUCUGAAAUUAUACUACAAGUUUCCAUACCACAAAGGGAUGGUUAGGAUUUGCUUUGGGGGGUUAUGGCUCAAACCGUUUAGGAAUUAGGGGCAAAAAAGGGGGAAAAACAAGGUUGUCCUGGUUAAUGGACAAAUACUUUAGUACAAAACAUAAUUUAAAGCAGUGUAAGGGAGAUAAAUCAAAUACAUCAUUGAAAUUAUCUCCCUUACACUGCUUUUAAAUUAUGUAUAAAGUAAUGGUUAAUGAACAAUAAAGAUAAUCUAAAACAGUGUAAGGGAGGUAAUCCAAAUACAACGUUUUGGUUACUUCCCUUACACUGCUUUUAAAUUAUGUUUAAAGAAAUGCAUAUUUAUAAAGGAAGACCAGUAAAAAUAUCUGCAAAUGUUUUCAUCUUUUUUUUUUACAAAAAAAUCCAUAUGAAAGAUUUGACACUAUAUUUUUUUUAAUUCUAUUAUAAAAUAGAUUAAGUUAGCACUAUGGUAAAUUUAAAUGGGUAAUUAUGGUUGCCAACUCCAUUGGAAAUUUGAAUUGAGAUUAUGACCAUAUCUUGAGGGAAAGAAUUUUUUGGGGGAAAAAAGGGGGGGGGGGAUAAAAAGAAAUUGUGGGGGGCCAAUUUUUUCUCAUUUCAGAUUUCAGAAAUUAAAAAGAAUUAUUCUUCAAAUAUUAUUUUUUUUUCAAAUUUCAAAUAUUGAAAAAUUUCAAGAAGUAAUCUUUAAUUGCACAGUAUGGCGCAUUAGAUUUGUAAAAUCUUUGAUCACAUUUAUUUAUUUGUGAUGCCGAAUCUAACAGUGUAUUUAGAUUUUUAAUUUUGGGUCCAGUUUUCAAAUUGGUCUACAUUAAUGUCCAAAGGGUCCAAAAUUAAACUUUGUUUGAUUUUAGCAAAAAUUGAAUAUAUGAGGUUCUUUGAUAUGCUGAAUCUAAACAUGUAUUUAGAUUUUUGAUUUUUGGCCCAGUUUUCAAGUUGGUCCAAAUUGGGGUCCAAAAUUAAACUUUGUUUGAUUUUAACAAAAAUUGAAUAUAUGGGGUUCUUUGAUAUGCUGAAUCUAACCAUGUAUUUAGAUUUUUUAUUUGUGGACCCCGUUAUCUAAUUGGUUCAUAUUGAGGUCAAAAGGGUCCAAAAUUAAACUUUGUUUGAUUUCAUCUAAAAUUGAAUUAUUGGGGUUCUUUGAUAUUCCAAAUCUAACCGUGUAUUUAGGUUUUUAAUUUUGGGUCCUGUUUUUUAAAUUGGUCUACAUUGAGGUCCAAAGGGUCCAAAAUUAAACUUAGUUUGAUUUUGACAAAAAUUUAAUUCUUGGGGUUCUUUGAUUUGCUGAAUCUAAACUUGUGUUUAGAUUUUUGAUUAUGGGCCCAGUUUUCAAGUUGGUCCAAGAUAGGGUCCAGUAUUUAAACUUUGUUUGAUUUCAACAAAAAUUGAAUAUAUUGGGUUGUUUGAUAUGCUGAAUCUAAACAUGUAUUUAGAUUUUUGAUUAUGGGCCCAGUUUUCAAGUUGGUCCAAAUUGGGGUCCAAAAUUAAACUUUGUUUGAUUUCAACAAAAAUUGAAUAUAUGAGGUUCUUUGAUAUGCUGAAUCUAACCAUGUAUUUAGAUUUUUUAUUUGUAGGCCCCGCUAUCAAAUUGGUUCAUAUUGAGGUCAAAAGGGUCCAAAAUUAAACUUUGUUUGAUUUCAUCGAAAAUUGAAUUAUUGGGGUUCUUUGAUAUGCCAAAUCUAACCGUGUUUUUAGAUUUUUAAUUUGGGUUCUGUUUUUUAAAUUGGUCUUCAUUGAGGUCCAAAGGGUCCAAAAUUAAACUUAGUUUGAUUUUAACAAAAAUUGAAUUCUUGGGGUUCUUUGAUAUGCUGAAUCUAAACAUGUGUUUAGAUUUUUGAUUAUGGGCCCAGUUUUCAAGUUGGUCCAAGUUGGGGUCCAAAAUUAAACUUUUUUUAUUUCAACAAAAAUUGAAUAUAUGGGGUUCUUUGAUAUGCUGAAUCUAACCAUGUAUUUAGAUUUUUUAUUUGUAGGCCCCGCUAUCAAAUUGGUUCAUAUUGAGGUCAAAAGGGUCCAAAAUUAAACUUUGUUUGAUUUCAUCAAAAAUUGAAUUAUUGGGGUUCUUUGAUAUGCCAAAUCUAACCGUGUUUUUAGAUGUUUAAUUUGGGUCCCGUUUUUUAAAUUCUUCAUUGAGGUCCAAAGGGUCCAAAAUUAAACUUAGUUUGAUUUUAACAAAAAAUGAAUUCUUGGGGUUCUUUGAUAUGCUGAAUCUAAACAUGUGUUUAGAUUUUUGAUUAUGGGCCCAGUUUUCAAGUUGGUCCAAGUUGGGGUCCAAAAUUAAACUUUGUUUGAUUUCAACAAAAAUUGAAUAUAUGGGGUUCUUUGAUAUGCUGAAUCUAACCAUGAAUUUAGAUUUUUUAUUUGUGGGCUCCGCUAUCAAAUUGGUUCAUAUUGAGGUCAAAAGGGUCCAAAAUUAAACUUUGUUUGAUUUCAUCUAAAAUUGAAUUAUUGGGGUUCUUUGAUAUGCCAAAUCUAACCGUGUAUUUAGAUUUUUAAUUUUGGGUCCUGUUUUUUAAAUUGGUCUACAUUAAGGUCCAAAGGGUCCAAAAUUAAACUUAGUUUGAUUUUAACAAAAAAUGAAUUCUUGGGGUUCUUUGAUAUGCUGAAUCUAAACAUGUGUUUAGAUUUUUGAUUAUGGGCCCAGUUUUCAAGUUGGUCCAAGUUGGGGUCCAAAAUUAAACUUUGUUUGAUUUCAACAAAAAUUGAAUAUAUGGGGUUCUUUGAUAUGCUGAAUCUAACCAUGAAUUUAGAUUUUUUAUGUGUGGGCUCCGCUAUCAAAUUGGUUCAUAUUGAGGUCAAAAGGGUCCAAAAUUAAACUUUGUUUGAUUUCAUCUAAAAUUGAAUUAUUGGGGUUCUUUGAUAUGCCAAAUCUAACCGUGUAUUUAGAUUUUUAAUUUUGGGUCCUGUUUUUUAAAUUGGUCUACAUUAAGGUCCAAAGGGUCCAAAAUUAAACUUAGUUUGAUUUUAACAAAAAUUGAAUUCAUGGGGUUCUUUGAUAUGCUGAAUCUAACCAUGUAUUUUGAUUUUGGACAUUGGACCAUAAUAGGUAAAUUAAAAAAAUUCAAGUUCUUAGACCACAUUCUUUCUGUGUCAGAAACCUAUGCUGUGUCAAAUAUUUAAUAACAAUCCAAAUUCAGAGCUGUAUCAAGCUUGAAUGUUGAGUCCAUACUUGCCCCAACUGUUCAGGGUUCGACCUCUGCGGUCGUAUCAAGCUGCGCCCCAGCGAAGCAUUUUAUUUUCUUUAAAA